UACUUUCGCGUUCUCUUCCGCAUUAGUGCAUCACCACGCGCAGCAGCGAGAGAAGGGGCUCCUCUUCCGCGUCUCUUCCGCCCGCAUCUGUCUGCGUCUCUUCCUUCUCAACACACGUUGCAAAUAAGAGAUGGAGCCCGUUCCAAGUUCAGAUCCAUCUCAGAUGAGGGGGAAAGCAUAUCUUCAUCAAGCACUCCCGGUCAGAUCCCUCCAUCCGGUCAUGCUUGCUCCUCUCGUCAAUCUGUGGAAGUGAAUCGGCCGCACGCGGGGUGGGGAUUGGGGAGGUGUGAAUUUGGCGUGGUCAACGUCACUUGCUGCAUCGUGAUAAGUCGUCGAGCGAGCCGCUACGGCUAGGGUGCUGCCGAAUAAUGGAGAUCGAGGGCCCUACUGAAUGGAGAGUGAGGCUACCGCCGAAGCUUCAGGUUCAUAUUUUUGCAUGUUUUCGUUGCUGCUGCGGAUGGAAUUAGCUAUAAGAAGCUGAUGGUUUUAGGAGGAAACAUAGGUAAAGCUGAUGAUUUUAGUCUCAAGGUCUAUGUUCUUAAUUUGUGUGAUGGAUGACAGGAUGAACAUCAUUAUUUUGUUUGGUAAUAUGUACUGCCUCCCUUUGAUGUAAUCUCGUCAAAACUAUAUGUAGUAGCAGUUUGUGCUGUUAUACUAUCUCCCUCUGUUCAAUGGACAGUAUCAAGUUUGGUUUGAAAUUAGCUAAUUGCAUCAUACCAUCAGGCGGCAGCUACGGCUCCACUGGAAUUUAACUUCAAUUACUAAUAAAAUCAAUUCGCAUAAUCACCACCCAAAGAUACACGACUUCAAUUAUUAAUAGCAGGCACCAUAUUGCCUAAACACAACAUGCGUAUUCACCAAUUCCUUACUAAUAUCUAUCCGCCGGCGGCGGCAGCGGAACUGAGAAAAGGGGUCGGCGUUGGGCUCGGGCACUCCCAGCGGUGGCGUCACCUUGCUUUUAGCAAUUUGGGCGAGAACUCAUGACAGACGGAAAGGGAUUGCGGCGCUCUAUAUCGCUAUUGGCGAUUUGGGUGGUGCCGAUUGGAAGGACCAAUGAACGAUAAUCUUGUCUAUUGACUUAUUUUUCCAAUCAUGCCCCUGCUUAAUCAAUGGCUAGAUUAGAUUGGUACCUCAUGGUACCUAGUACUUCAUGGUACCUCAUGGUACUUCCUCAAGGAUGGAAAAAGAGCUCUUAUAGAAAUGAUGGAUAUGUAUAUCAAAUGAUGUGAGAUGAUCUGCCAUGCUUACAUGUUGAGUUCUAAAAUAUAAUAAAAUAUAGAUGAUGUACUAUACUUGUAUAACAUUUAAAAUACUUUAGGCAUUAAUUGCUACUGAAUGAUGAUGUGUUACACUCAUAUAUUGAGUUUAGUAGCUAGUCAGCAUCAAUUAUAUAGAAGAUAUGAUUUUUUUUUUUACAGCCUGGGUGCAUUUUAGGUGGAAUAUUUUCAAGUUCCAUUAGCCUACGGUGAAAACUCCACUAGGAGGGUUAAAUUCACAAACAACCCCAUAUAAAAAAACACAUAGUUAAAUAAGAUGAAUGCAUUCAGCGCAAUUAGACGCUUGGUAUUGUCAUGCUACAAUUUGUUUUGCAACUAAAAGAACAUUUUCGGAAAAAAUGUUUAGAGGAGCUUUCUUUCUUGCUUAGUCCAUAUUUAUUGGCUGCACUCUUUUAAUCAUUUUAACUAAAUUUUGGCACCUCUUCUAACACUAUCCAUAAUACUCCUUUUCAUAUGAGGCCCAUAUAUCUUGCGAUAUAUAGUAAGUUCUUAGUUUAAUAGAAAAUUAAAUGUGUUAUGUGUUUUAAGGGUUAUUUGUUCUUGCCAAAUCAAGUUUGGCUUUAAGAUCAAUAUUUUGUAUUGUGAGGAGAUAUAACAAUCAUCUACACACAAAAGAGAUAUUUUUUUUAAAUAAAGCCAUUGCACACACUACCAAUCUGUUUUGGUCCCUAAUAAAUGAUAGCAACACAUUUAGUACAGUACAAUCUUACUAGUUGAAUCAAGUGUUUAAAGGAAUCUGCUUGUAAAAGAUAUAAACAUAUGAUAGAUCUAAAAAAAUAGGUUGUAUACACCCUAAAUGAUAAUUAUAUCACACGUAGUCUACUAAAAUCAUGGAUCUGAAGAAAUGUGAUUGUAAAAUCCUUACACACAAUAGAUAUAAGAGAACGGGUUGAAUCCACUCUAAAUGAUUGUAAUACCACAAACAAAUCAUUAAUCAAAUCAUAGAUCUAAAGGAAUAUGGUUGCAAAUCCUAAACAUAAUUGAUUUUGAAGAAAGUUGCAUGAGUAUGGUGAAGCAAAAACCUGUUCCAUGAUAACUUCAGCACGCAUCAUCCAAGUUCCUCUGCUUCACUCUGCAUAUAUAUAUAUUCACAUUAAAAUUGUGAUAUUCAAUCGAUGUGCUGCAACCUAUUCAUGGUGAUGGAAAUGGGAAAUGUAGGGAGGCUAGCAAGGGUGUAUGCACGUGUAGUAGAGAAGGAAAGAAGGGCAAGGUUGGACAUUGGACAAGGCAGUGGUGAGGGGAGAUAAGGUGCUUUUAAUCCCUUAUGCUGUCAUUGCCAGUGCAUCUAACUUUGGAAUCAUAGAUAUUAACAAAAAUUGUUGCCAUAUUAACUGAUCAGUUUUUCUUUUUUCUUUAGUCACAAAUAAUGGUUCAUUUUUGGAUUUUUUUUGAGGGGAAACACAUGUCUUUUCAUAUCUAAACAUAAUAAGGCACAUGAUUCCUUACAUCAUGACUACUUCACAGGAUUCAUUUCACCACAUUAUAUCUUGUCUGGAGAAAUGACAUGAAAAAUAAACAGGCGAUAUUAGAAGAUGAUUCUUUGGAAAUUAAGGAGCUGUCACAAGUGAAUGCUACAUGCAUUGUGUUUGAUGAAUUUGGGUAAGUAUG
This 2885-nucleotide long non-coding RNA is filed under the name Oryza sativa (Asian cultivated rice). RNAcentral describes it as "long non-coding RNA (OSAT_LNC001612)". Lineage: Eukaryota; Viridiplantae; Streptophyta; Magnoliopsida; Poales; Poaceae. The record is from RNAcentral.